UACGGAGGGUGCAAGCGUUAUCCGGAAUCACUGGGCGUAAAGGGCGCGUAGGCGGUCCGCCGAGUCUGAUGUUAAAGACCGGGGCUCAACCCCGGCACGGCGUUGGAUACUGGCGGGCUAGACGACUGGAGAGGAAAGUAGAAUUACCAGUGUAGCGGUGGAAUGCGUAGAUACUGGUAGGAAUACCCAUUGCGAAGGCAGCUUUCUGGACAGUUUGUGACGCUGAGGCGCGAAAGUGUGGGGAGCAAACCGG
This 253-nucleotide unclassified non-coding RNA is filed under the name uncultured Trueperaceae bacterium. Its description in RNAcentral is "contains 16S-23S intergenic spacer region". It matches the Rfam family "Bacterial small subunit ribosomal RNA", at positions 524 to 776 of the family's 1533-position model. Lineage: Bacteria; Thermotogati; Deinococcota; Deinococci; Trueperales; Trueperaceae. The record is from RNAcentral.